This 430-nucleotide ribosomal RNA is filed under the name Pseudomonadota bacterium. RNAcentral describes it as "Proteobacteria bacterium partial 16S ribosomal RNA". It matches the Rfam family "Bacterial small subunit ribosomal RNA", at positions 355 to 776 of the family's 1533-position model. The record is from RNAcentral. Lineage: Bacteria; Pseudomonadati; Pseudomonadota.
UGGGGUAUAUUGGACAAUGGGGGGAACCCUGAUCCAGCCAUGCCGCGUGUGUGAAGAAGGCCUUAUGGUUGUAAAGCACUUUAAGCGAGGAGGAGGGUACUGGUAUUAAUACUACCAGCUACUGGACGUUACUCGCAGAAUAAGCACCGGCUAACUCUGUGCCAGCAGCCGCGGUAAUACAGAGGGUGCGAGCGUUAAUCGGAUUUACUGGGCGUAAAGCGUGCGUAGGCGGCUAAUUGAGUCGGAUGUGAAAUCCCCGAGCUUAACUUGGGAAUUGCAUUCGAUACUGGUUAGCUAGAGUGUGGGAGAGGAUGGUAGAAUUCCAGGUGUAGCGGUGAAAUGCGUAGAGAUCUGGAGGAAUACCGAUGGCGAAGGCAGCCAUCUGGCCUAACACUGACGCUGAGGUACGAAAGCAUGGGGAGCAAUCAGG